Long non-coding RNA from Mus musculus (house mouse), 390 nucleotides. RefSeq annotates it as predicted gene, 31556. NCBI's taxonomy places the organism in Eukaryota, Metazoa, Chordata, Mammalia, Rodentia, Muridae. The transcript is spliced from 3 exons. The record is from RefSeq and is a predicted model, not a curated record.
AUUCCAGCUCCUCCCAAGAACUGGGUGAAGAAUGGAACUUGGCCUAGCCUUGAUCCCAGGAGGGAAAAGAAGCUGUAGAGUUUGCAUCAAGACCAUUUCUUGUGAGUGAUUUGGGGUUUCUCCUCUUCUGAGUAAGAAUGUGGGGGAUUCCUCACUUUGUGGGUCUUUCAUUUGGUGCAUUGGCCGGGAAAGGCAACCACCCAUCUCAUCUGAGAACCGACUUGGAGAUACUGUUACCUGCUGAGAAGCCCCCCUGAUCUAUUCCAGAGACUUUGCCCUAUCCUGCACGUCAUCACCUGCAGCUAGUUCCAGGCUCCAAGCAUGAAUUGGCGGGAAUGGGCCUCCCCCCUCUUUUAUAAAGUGUGUCUGCCAUUAAACAUUUGAUCCCUG